Molecule: ribosomal RNA, 385 nt
Filed under: uncultured bacterium
Lineage: Bacteria
Description: bacterial SSU rRNA
Rfam family: Bacterial small subunit ribosomal RNA
Source: RNAcentral
AAUGGGGGAAACCCUGAUGCAGCAACGCCGCGUGAACGAAGAAGGCCUUCGGGUCGUAAAGUUCUUUGAUUGGGGACGAUAAUGACGGUACCCAAAAAACAAGCCACGGCUAACUACGUGCCAGCAGCCGCGGUAAUACGUAGGUGGCGAGCGUUGUCCGGAUUUACUGGGCGUAAAGGAUGCGUAGGUGGAAACUUAAGUGGGAUGUGAAAUCCCCGGGCUCAACCCGGGAACUGCAUUCCAAACUGGGUAUCUAGAGUGCAGGAGAGGAAAGCGGAAUUCCUAGUGUAGCGGUGAAAUGCGUAGAUAUUAGGAAGAACACCAGUGGCGAAGGCGGCUUUCUGGACUGUAACUGACACUGAGGCAUGAAAGCGUGGGGAGCAAA